This is a long non-coding RNA of Coregonus clupeaformis (lake whitefish), 826 nucleotides long. RefSeq lists it as uncharacterized. The transcript has 3 exons. Lineage: Eukaryota; Metazoa; Chordata; Actinopteri; Salmoniformes; Salmonidae. The record is from RefSeq and is a predicted model, not a curated record.
CCUGCAGAAGACUUUCCUUUUACCUGAUAUCUGCCUAACAACAAUCCACUCCUCAUCUCUUUAGAUCACACGGCUUUAGCAGGUUCAGAAUCUACCGGAAUAUACCAACUCCCAGUGUUUUGAGUGAGAGCCUUUGUUUGGAAAUAGCCGCUCAUUGUAGCGUUACCGUACCUACACUGGUAGGCUGGUCGCAGUCAUAUUGGAGCUGUGUAGUUAAUUGUUUACAGAGAAGCCUUCAGGCCUGGAACACAGCAGGAUGAGGAGACUGAACCGGGUUAGUGCCUCUGGUCAUGACAACCCUGCCAUGGAGAUGACUGAUGGAGUUGUCAACCAGUAUGAAUGGCAGCCAGUUGUUGGAACUCCGAUCUCUAAGACAUCAGUAUCCAGUGCUGCGAAGGCAGCUGCCCAGUGGGCAUCUUACACCUGCAGCCGCUGGAAACGAGCCUGCCGUCAGUGUAUGAAGAGAAAACCCACAGGUAACAUUUCAGAUAAAACGCCAAACUCAGAUACACUCAGAUAAGAGUUCAAAUACUCUGCACUCUUUCAGGCUGUAUGAUCACCUUCUUGUUUAAAGGGGAAUUCUUUGAGAGCAUGUACAAAGGCCUGGCCUUGGAUGAGGAUGUCAUAGAUGGAGGAGACAAAAGCUUCCACCUCAAUAAAAGACUGAUGGACCAUUUCAGAGAUCUGGCUUCCAGCAAUCAGGACACUGAUGAGGUGGACCUUCAGUACCUGAAUGAUGUAAUCGCAGAUGGAGCCGACCCCAACUCAACAGACCGAUAUGGACAAACUGUCUUACAUGAGGUAUCUUUCCAUGUCAUCAAAUGGC